GAUCGAGUUAGACUGGAUCCUUCUAGGCCACUAAGCAAGCGAAAGCAUUGGGUUGUUGCUGAAAUUCUGAAGAAAGCACGGAUUUAUGUGCCACCAUCCGCUGAUAACCCUGUGGGUUUAGAUAGCAAAACUGAAGUGCAAACUUCUUCAACCUCUUGAGCUUAGAUCAAAUUCAAUGUGCCUUCUGGGUCGAUAUACAUUUCUUUCAAGAUACCUGGAAAUCAAGAUAGCCAACUCCUAAAGAGUUGCUAAGAAAGGAGCAUUCAAGAUGGUUCUUUGUUUACUUCCAAUUUUGUAUGCUAUUCUGUUUCAAAAAUAGCUGGAACUCCAUGUUGGUAACUUGUUGAUGAUGAGAAUUGAUUUUUUUUGCAUAUUCUGUCUCAAUAAGUCUUUCAGGAACUCCUUUUCCCCCUCG
RNAcentral lists this unclassified non-coding RNA (415 nucleotides) under Hevea brasiliensis (rubber tree). Lineage: Eukaryota; Viridiplantae; Streptophyta; Magnoliopsida; Malpighiales; Euphorbiaceae. The record is from RNAcentral.